CUUUCUGAAAUUACAAGUCUUUUUCCAAUUUUUGUUUUGUUUUGUUUUUAUUUUUUGGUAGGAUGGACCUAUUUUUUUGCUUGGAAAAUAAGAUGUUCUCUGCUUCUGGCACACUGGUGAAAAUCGGUAAUUAAGGACACUGGUAAUAGUAUAUGGAUCCUGUUGGAGAUAGAGUAUCAUACAAGUAUUGGAUGAAUAGCAAACAGCCUUGCUGCUACAUUUCAAGGCGCAGCCUGAGUCUUGGUGUGCAGAAUAUCAUCCCAUGA
RNAcentral lists this long non-coding RNA (266 nucleotides) under Corvus moneduloides (New Caledonian crow). Its description in RNAcentral is "lncRNA (ENSCMUG00000010506.2)". Lineage: Eukaryota; Metazoa; Chordata; Aves; Passeriformes; Corvidae. The record is from RNAcentral.